RNAcentral lists this ribosomal RNA (433 nucleotides) under uncultured bacterium. Its description in RNAcentral is "partial 16S ribosomal RNA". It matches the Rfam family "Bacterial small subunit ribosomal RNA", at positions 29 to 507 of the family's 1533-position model. The record is from RNAcentral.
AACGAACGCUGGCGGCAUGCCUAACACAUGCAAGUCGAACGAGACCUUCGGGCCUAGUGGCGCACGGGUGCGUAACGCGUGGGAACCUGCCUUUAGGUUCGGAAUAACUCAGAGAAAUUUGAGCUCAUACCGGAUGAUGUCUUCGGACCAAAGAUUUAUCGCUUUGAGAUGGGCCCGCGUUGGAUUGGCUAGUUGGUGGGGUAAAGGCCUGCCAAGGCGAUGAUCCAUAGCUGGUCUGAUACGAGGAUCAGCCAGACUGGGACUGAGACACGGCCCAGACUCGUACGGGAGGGAGCAGUGGGGAAUAUUGGGCAAUGGGCGAAAGCCUGAUCCAGCAGUGCCGGGUGAGAGAUGAAGGCCUUAGGGUUGUAAAGCUCUUUUACCCGAGAUGAUAAUGACAGUAACGGGAGAAGAAGCUCCGGCUAACUCCGUG